This 67-nucleotide transfer RNA is filed under the name Cavia porcellus (domestic guinea pig). It matches the Rfam family "tRNA". From Rfam's summary of the family: Transfer RNA (tRNA) molecules are approximately 80 nucleotides in length. Their secondary structure includes four short double-helical elements and three loops (D, anti-codon, and T loops). Lineage: Eukaryota; Metazoa; Chordata; Mammalia; Rodentia; Caviidae. The record is from Rfam by way of RNAcentral.
UGGGGUGUAGCUCAGUGGUAGAGCACUUGAAUAUGUGAGGCUCUAGGUUCAAUUCCCUGCACAGCAA